GAUGAAGAACGUAGUGAAAUGCGAUAAGUAGUGUGAAUUGCAGAAUUCAGUGAAUCAUCAAAUCUUUGAACGCACAUUGCGCCCCUUGGUAUUCCAUGGGGCAUGCCUGUUCGAGCGUCAUUUGUACCUUCAAGCUCUGCUUGGUGUUGGGUGUUUGUCUCGCCUCUGCGUGUAGACUCGCCUCAAAACAAUUGGCAGCCGGCGUAUUGAUUUCGGAGCGCGGUACAUCUCGCGCUUUGCACUCAUAACGACGACGUCCAAAAGUACAUUUUUACACUCUUGACCUCGGAUCAGGUAGGGAUACCCGCUGAACUUAAGCAUAUCAAUAAGCGGAGGA
RNAcentral lists this unclassified non-coding RNA (337 nucleotides) under soil metagenome. RNAcentral describes it as "partial contains 5.8S ribosomal RNA, internal transcribed spacer 2, and large subunit ribosomal RNA". The stretch from base 1 to 120 matches the Rfam family "5.8S ribosomal RNA", at positions 35 to 154 of the family's 154-position model. The record is from RNAcentral.